AGGCAUGAUAGAGGCGCGGUUUUCAUCAGUAGCCCUUUAGGGGUGCGCGGAAACGCACAGGGCGAAAGGGACAGCCGCCGAAGGGCCUGCCGGGGUUUCCGUCCCGCAGGUGCCUGGGGUGCAGGAGAACAUCCUGCGCACUGCCGCUUGACGGAGAGCUAUCAUGACC
This 169-nucleotide non-coding RNA is filed under the name Slackia heliotrinireducens. Its description in RNAcentral is "Lysine sequence". It matches the Rfam family "Lysine riboswitch aptamer". Rfam says of the family: Riboswitches are metabolite binding domains within certain messenger RNAs that serve as precision sensors for their corresponding targets. Allosteric rearrangement of mRNA structure is mediated by ligand binding, and this results in modulation of gene expression. Lineage: Bacteria; Bacillati; Actinomycetota; Coriobacteriia; Eggerthellales; Eggerthellaceae. The record is from RNAcentral. RNAcentral also lists the same sequence under 1 other name.